RNAcentral lists this ribosomal RNA (253 nucleotides) under uncultured bacterium. RNAcentral's name for it is "partial 16S ribosomal RNA". It matches the Rfam family "Bacterial small subunit ribosomal RNA", at positions 524 to 776 of the family's 1533-position model. The record is from RNAcentral.
UACGUAGGGGGCUAGCGUUGUCCGGAUUUAUUGGGCGUAAAGAGCGUGUAGGCGGCCAAGUAGGUCCGGUGUGAAAACUCGAGGCUUAACCUCGAGAUGUCAUCGGAAACCAUUUGGCUAGAGUCCGGAAGAGGAAAGUGGAAUUCCUGGUGUAGCGGUGAAAUGCGCAGAUAUCAGGAGGAACACCGGUGGCGAAAGCGCUCAUCUGGCCCAAUACUGACGCUGAGGCGCGAAAGCUAGGGGAGCAAACGGG